GAUGAACGCUGGCGGCGCGCCUAACACAUGCAAGUCGAACGGUUAAAGCAUCUUCGGAUGUGCAUAAAGUGGCGAACGGCUGAGUAACACGUGGGCAACCUGCCCCUCGCAUCGGGACAGCCUCGGGAAACCGUGGUUAAUACCGGAUACUCCGUCCCCCCCGCAUGGGGGAGGCGGGAAAGCCCAGACGGCGAGGGAUGGGCCCGCGGCCUGUUAGCUUGUUGGUGGGGCAGUGGCCCACCAAGGCGAUGAUGGGUAGCCGGGUUGAGAGACCGACCGGCCAGAUUGGGACUGAGACACGGCCCAGACUCCUACGGGAGGCAGCAGUGGGGAAUCUUGCACAAUGGGCGAAAGCCUGAUGCAGCGACGCCGCGUGCGGGACGAAGGCCUUCGGGUCGUAAACCGCUUUCAGCAGGGACGAGGCCGCAAGGUGACGGACCUGCAGAAGAGCCCC
This 454-nucleotide ribosomal RNA is filed under the name Olsenella profusa. Its description in RNAcentral is "bacterial SSU rRNA". It matches the Rfam family "Bacterial small subunit ribosomal RNA", at positions 28 to 493 of the family's 1533-position model. Lineage: Bacteria; Bacillati; Actinomycetota; Coriobacteriia; Coriobacteriales; Atopobiaceae. The record is from RNAcentral.